CAGCCUGAUGCAGCACGCCGCGUGCGGGAAGACAGCCCUAGGGUUGUAAACCGCUUUCAGUAGGGAAGAAAAUGACGGUACCUACAGAAGAAGGUGCGGCCAACUACGUGCCAGCAGCCGCGGUGACACGUAGGCACCAAGCGUUAUCCGGAUUUAUUGGGCGUAAAGAGCUCGUAGGCGGUUUGGUAAGUCGGGUGUGAAAACUCAGGGCUUAACCCUGAGACGCCACCCGAUACUGCCAUGACUUGAGUACGGUAGGGGAGCGGGGAACUCCUGGUGUAGCGGUGAAAUGCGCAGAUAUCAGGAAGAACACCGGUGGCGAAGGCGCCGCUCUGGGCCGUAACUGACGCUGAGGAGCGAAAGCGUGGGUAGCAAACAGGAUUAGAUACCCUGGUAGUCCACGCCGUAAACGUUGGGCACUAGGUGUGGGUCUCAACUAACGAGAUCCGCGCCGUAGCUAACGCAUUAAGUGCCCCGCCUGGGGAGUACGGUCGCAAGACUAAAACUCAAAGAAAAUUGACGGA
This 524-nucleotide ribosomal RNA is filed under the name uncultured Ilumatobacter sp. RNAcentral's name for it is "bacterial SSU rRNA". It matches the Rfam family "Bacterial small subunit ribosomal RNA", at positions 379 to 917 of the family's 1533-position model. Lineage: Bacteria; Bacillati; Actinomycetota; Acidimicrobiia; Acidimicrobiales; Ilumatobacteraceae. The record is from RNAcentral.